Ictalurus punctatus (channel catfish) is the source of this 493-nucleotide long non-coding RNA. RefSeq lists it as uncharacterized. NCBI's taxonomy places the organism in Eukaryota, Metazoa, Chordata, Actinopteri, Siluriformes, Ictaluridae. The record is from RefSeq and is a predicted model, not a curated record. The transcript has 3 exons.
ACAAAUUGCAGUCUGAGAAUAUUCCACUCACAGCAUGAACAUACUAAAGUACACCGCCUGCGGCUGCAGUCUGUUCUCAACGUCGAGAUAUGAAUCACAGUCUGACAAGGUUAAAGUUUCACUCAGGUUGCCAACACUGUGGACAGCCAGCUUCCUGACCAUCAGUUUGAAAACUGCUCCUACUUCUUCUCUUCACUCUUGCUUCACAGCCUCCUGGGACAGUGUAAUUAACCAGAAUGUAGAGAGGUCAAAUCCAAAUUCCACAGCUGUCAGCAAGCCUUUUAACCCUCAGCUGUGAUCUCUCUGCUUGGAUUGGAUUCUUCCUUGCUUCUGGAAGUCUAACCUCAGCCUUCUAGUGGGUAUAAUAAUUUCUGAAUGUUGCACAUCAAGGCUUGAGAGUAUAUAGCCUAAUGGUGAUGAAAAUAAUAUGAAGAUUUCCAAACAUAACCUUUCCAUUAAAGGUAAGUAAAUGCUACAGAAAAUGUUUAUGUCG